GAUGGACGCUGGCGGCGUGCCUAAUACAUGCAAGUCGAGCGAACAGACGAGGAGCUUGCUCCUCUGACGUUAGCGGCGGACGGGUGAGUAACACGUGGAUAACCUACCUAUAAGACUGGGAUAACUUCGGGAAACCGGAGCUAAUACCGGAUAAUAUAUUGAACCGCAUGGUUCAAUAGUGAAGGACGGUUUUGCUGUCACUUAUAGAUGGAUCCGCGCCGCAUUAGCUAGUUGGUAAGGUAACGGCUUACCAAGGCAACGAUGCGUAGCCGACCUGAGAGGGUGAUCGGCCACACUGGAACUGAGACACGGUCCAGACUCCUACGGGAGGCAGCAGUAGGGAAUCUUCCGCAAUGGGCGAAAGCUUGACGGAGCAACGCCGCGUGAGUGAUGAAGGUCUUCGGAUCGUAAAACUCUGUUAUUAGGGAAGAACAAAUGUGUAAGUAACUAUGCACGCCUUGACGGUACCUAAUCAGAAAGCCACGGCUAACUACGUG
RNAcentral lists this ribosomal RNA (497 nucleotides) under uncultured bacterium. RNAcentral describes it as "partial 16S ribosomal RNA". It matches the Rfam family "Bacterial small subunit ribosomal RNA", at positions 28 to 507 of the family's 1533-position model. The record is from RNAcentral.